GACGAACGCUGGCGGCGUGCUUAACACAUGCAAGUCGAGCGGUAAGGCCCUUUCGGGGGUACACGAGCGGCGAACGGGUGAGUAACACGUGGGUGACCUGCCCUCAGCUCUGGGAUAAGCCUGGGAAACUGGGUCUAAUACCGGAUAUGACUCCAUGACGCAUGUUGUGGGGUGGAAAGCCUUGUGCGGCUGAGGAUGGGCCCGCGGCCUAUCAGCUUGUUGGUGGGGGAUGGCCUACCAAGGCGACGACGGGUAGCCGGCCUGAGAGGGCGACCGGCCACACUGGGACUGAGACACGGCCCAGACUCCUACGGGAGGCAGCAGUGGGGAAUCUUGCGCAAUGGGCGAAAGCCUGACGCAGCGACGCCGCGUGAGGGGAU
Molecule: ribosomal RNA, 380 nt
Filed under: uncultured bacterium
Lineage: Bacteria
Description: bacterial SSU rRNA
Rfam family: Bacterial small subunit ribosomal RNA
Source: RNAcentral